AUUGUGAAUGAUAGGCUUGAGCAAAAC
Molecule: small RNA, 27 nt
Filed under: Bombyx mori (domestic silkworm)
Lineage: Eukaryota; Metazoa; Arthropoda; Insecta; Lepidoptera; Bombycidae
Description: ovarian small RNA-12713
Source: RNAcentral